GCCGGGGUGGCGGAACUGGUAGACGCGCCAGACUCAAAAUCUGGUGGGAGCGAUCUCGUGUCGGUUCGAUUCCGACCCUCGGUACCA
This 87-nucleotide transfer RNA is filed under the name Sulfuricaulis sp. RNAcentral describes it as "tRNA-Leu". It matches the Rfam family "tRNA". Rfam says of the family: Transfer RNA (tRNA) molecules are approximately 80 nucleotides in length. Lineage: Bacteria; Pseudomonadati; Pseudomonadota; Gammaproteobacteria; Acidiferrobacterales; Acidiferrobacteraceae. The record is from RNAcentral.